This 497-nucleotide ribosomal RNA is filed under the name uncultured bacterium. RNAcentral describes it as "partial 16S ribosomal RNA". It matches the Rfam family "Bacterial small subunit ribosomal RNA", at positions 28 to 507 of the family's 1533-position model. The record is from RNAcentral.
GAUGAACGCUGGCGGCGUGCCUAAUACAUGCAAGUCGAGCGAACGGACGAGAAGCUUGCGUCUCUGAUGUUAGCGGCGGACGGGUGAGUAACACGUGGAUAACCUACCUAUAAGACUGGGAUAACUUCGGGAAACCGGAGCUAAUACCGGAUGAUAUUUUGAACCGCAUGGUUCAAAAGUGAAAGACGGUCUUGCUGUCACUUAUAGAUGGAUCCGCGCUGCAUUAGCUAGUUGGUAAGGUAACGGCUUACCAAGGCAACGAUGCAUAGCCGACCUGAGAGGGUGAUCAGCCACACUGGAACUGAGACACGGUCCAGACUCCUACGGGAGGCAGCAGUAGGGAAUCUUCCGCAAUGGGCGAAAGCCUGACGGAGCAACGCCGCGUGAGUGAUGAAGGUCUUCGGAUCGUAAAACUCUGUUAUUAGGGAAGAACAUAUGUGUAAGUAACUGUGCACAUCUUGACGGUACCUAAUCAGAAAGCCACGGCUAACUACGUG